GGUGGGGAUAAUUUGGAAACCGGAGUAAUACCGCAUAAGACCGGAAGGUGAAAGGCGAAANUCGCCGAGAGAGGAGCCCGCGGCUGAUUAGCUGGAUGGUGGGGUAAAGGCCCACCAUGGCUGAGAUCAGUAGCCGGCCUGAGAGGGCACACGGCCACACUGGCACUGAAACACGGGCCAGACUCCUACGGGAGGCAGCAGUGGGGAAUCUUGUACAAUGGGGGAAACCCUGAUGCAGCGACGCCGCGUGAGCGAUGAAGCCCUUCGGGGUGUAAAGCUCUUUCGGCAGGGACGAUAAUGACGGUACCUGAAGAAGAAGCUGCGGCUAACUACGUGCCAGCAGCCGCGGUAAUACGUAGGCAGCGAGCGUUGUUCGGAGUUACUGGGCGUAAAGCGUGCGUAGGCGGUGGCCCAAGUCUGGUGUGAAAUCUCCCGGCUUAACCGGGAGGGUGCGCCGGAAACUGGGCCGCUGGAGUGCGGGAGAGGCAGGCGGAAUUCCAGGUGUAGCGGUGAAAUGCGUAGAUAUCUGGAGGAACACCCGUGGUGCAGACGGCCUGCUGGACCGCAACUGACGCUGAGGCACGAAAGCG
This 590-nucleotide ribosomal RNA is filed under the name uncultured soil bacterium S0148. Its description in RNAcentral is "bacterial SSU rRNA". It matches the Rfam family "Bacterial small subunit ribosomal RNA", at positions 135 to 761 of the family's 1533-position model. The record is from RNAcentral.